UUACGGCCAUAUCACGUUGAAACACCGGUUCACGUACGAUCACUGAAGUCAAGCAAUGUUCAGCCUGAUCAAUACCUAUAUGGGUGACCAUUUGGGAUUAACAGGUCCUGUA
This is a non-coding RNA of Acanthosepion pharaonis, 112 nucleotides long. The record is from the annotation of a GenBank genome assembly. Lineage: Eukaryota; Metazoa; Mollusca; Cephalopoda; Sepiida; Sepiidae.